RNAcentral lists this ribosomal RNA (466 nucleotides) under uncultured bacterium. RNAcentral describes it as "bacterial SSU rRNA". It matches the Rfam family "Bacterial small subunit ribosomal RNA", at positions 329 to 792 of the family's 1533-position model. The record is from RNAcentral.
UGCCAGACUCCUACGGGAGGCAGCAGUGAGGAAUAUUGGUCAAUGGGCGGGAGCCUGAACCAGCCAAGUCGCGUGAGGGAUGACGGCCCUAUGGGUUGUAAACCUCUUUUGCCGGGGAGCAAAGUGCCGCACGUGUGCGGUUUGGAGAGUACCCGGAGAAAAAGCAUCGGCUAACUCCGUGCCAGCAGCCGCGGUAAUACGGAGGAUGCGAGCGUUAUCCGGAUUUAUUGGGUUUAAAGGGAGCGUAGGCCGGUCUUUAAGCGUGCCGUGAAAUUUUGUGGCUCAACCAUGAGAGUGCGGCGCGAACUGGAGACCUUGAGUGCGCGGAAGGCAGGCGGAAUUCGUGGUGUAGCGGUGAAAUGCUUAGAUAUCACGAAGAACCCCGAUUGCGAAGGCAGCCUGCCGCAGCGUUACUGACGCUGAAGCUCGAAAGCGCGGGUAUCGAACAGGAUUAGAUACCCUCGUA